RNAcentral lists this ribosomal RNA (253 nucleotides) under uncultured bacterium. RNAcentral describes it as "partial 16S ribosomal RNA". It matches the Rfam family "Bacterial small subunit ribosomal RNA", at positions 524 to 776 of the family's 1533-position model. The record is from RNAcentral.
UACGGAGGGUGCGAGCGUUAAUCGGAAUUACUGGGCGUAAAGGGCGCGUAGGUGGUUUGGUAAGUCGGUUGUGAAAGCCCCGGGCUUAACCUGGGAAUUGCAUUCGAUACUGCCUGGCUAGAGUAUGGUAGAGGGAAGCGGAAUUCCGGGUGUAGCGGUGAAAUGCGUAGAUAUCCGGAGGAACGCCAGUGGCGAAGGCGGCUUCCUGGACCAAUACUGACACUGAGGCGCGAAAGCGUGGGGAGCAAACAGG